This 407-nucleotide ribosomal RNA is filed under the name uncultured bacterium. RNAcentral's name for it is "bacterial SSU rRNA". It matches the Rfam family "Bacterial small subunit ribosomal RNA", at positions 355 to 774 of the family's 1533-position model. The record is from RNAcentral.
UGGGGAAUAUUGCACAAUGGGCGCAAGCCUGAUGCAGCAACGCCGCGUGAGGGACGACGGCCUUCGGGUUGUAAACCUCUUUUGGCAGGGAAGAAGCGAAAGUGACGGUACCUGCAGAAAAAGCACCGGCUAACUACGUGCCAGCAGCCGCGGUGAUACGUAGGGUGCAAGCGUUAUCCGGAAUUAUUGGGUUUAAAGGGUGCGUAGGCGGACUAAUAAGUCAGUGGUGAAAGCCUGCAGCUUAACUGCAGAAUUGCCAUUGAUACUGUUAGUCUUGAGUACAGUUGAGGUAGGCGGAAUGUGUCAUGUAGCGGUGAAAUGCUUAGAUAUGACACAGAACACCGAUUGCGAAGGCAGCUUGCUAAGCUGUAACUGACGCUGAGGCACGAAAGCGUGGGGAGCAAACA